RNAcentral lists this ribosomal RNA (460 nucleotides) under uncultured bacterium. RNAcentral's name for it is "partial 16S ribosomal RNA". It matches the Rfam family "Bacterial small subunit ribosomal RNA", at positions 338 to 795 of the family's 1533-position model. The record is from RNAcentral.
CCUACGGGGCGCAGCAGUGAGGAAUAUUGGUCAAUGGACGGAAGUCUGAACCAGCCAUGCCGCGUGCAGGAAGACGGCUCUAUGAGUUGUAAACUGCUUUUGUACAAGGGUAAACCCGAAUACGCGUAUCUAUCUGAAAGUACCGUACGAAUAAGGAUCGGCUAACUCCGUGCCAGCAGCCGCGGUAAUACGGAGGAUUCAAGCGUUAUCCGGAUUUAUUGGGUUUAAAGGGUGCGUAGGCGGUUUGAUAAGUUAGAGGUGAAAUGUCCGGGCUUAACUUGGGAACUGCCUCUGAUACUGUUGGUCUAGAGAGUAGAUGCGGUAGGCGGAAUGUAUGGUGUAGCGGUGAAAUGCUUAGAGAUCAUACAGAACACCGAUUGCGAAGGCAGCUUACCAAUCUAUAUCUAACGUUGAGGCACGAAAGCGUGGGGAGCAAACAGGAUUAGAUACCCCUGUAGUC